AGAUUAGCUCGGGCUCAUAAUAAUUAUUAGUAACGUCGAGACCUCCCCCAGAGCUCCAUCCUCCUCCAUCGUCCGAUCGAUGGAUCUCAAGAUGAUGAUGGACGCCGGUUCCGGCGCCGGUCCCUGGACGGAGGAGCGCCACUCCUCCUUCCUCAACUGGAUGGAGGACUCCUUCGUCCGCCGAAUGUUCGCCGGCACCGACCUCCAAGCGUCUUGCUCCCCCGCCGAUAACUGCCGCCACCCCCCGCUCGACCGCUACCUCCCCGACAGCGCCACCGAGUCCACCCGCGACUUCCACGGCCCACGGCCGAGAUCCGUCGCCGGCCGGCCCAUGCGAUCGCCGGCGCUGGUGGAUGAGGAGGAGCAGCCAGAAACUCGGCACUCGGCGGUCAGGAGGACGAGGAAGCGAGCUCUUCCGGGAUACGAUGCAUCGCAGGAUCAGGUGGUCCCACAGCAUGGAAGCGCAGAGGUAGAUGAUAGUAAUUCUAAGAGGAACCAAAGAGAAGAAGGAUGGUGUCUAGCAGUCUCUCCAACCAGCCAAAGUGGGGGAAGAAAAAAAGAGAGGAUGGCGUGACUUCGAUGAUUCCUUUUAGCUGUAGUUCUCUUCUAAUUGCUCGAACUAUGUAGUUUUGGUUUUGUUAAAGAUGAAAGAGGAGUUUCUAAUGCCAGUUCCGCUUGUGUCUAGUAUAUUGCAAAGCUAGUCCACAUGAAGUUGAAUUUAUCAUUCUGCCAUUGUCUCAAACAACCCAAGCAAGGAUCAGAUCAGAAGAGGACAUGUUUUUAACAUAGUUAGCAGAUUCAAAUUAUGCCUUUUGAUUAAAAAAAGUUGGAAGUUUUAGAUGACUUAAAGGAGUUGCCUUUUGAAACAUUUGCGGUGUCCUAACCAAGGUCUGAAAAUUGAUCCUGUAUCGACCAAGGAUGGUUUUGGUACGUACCGGAAUCGAUGAAGGGAGUUGAAGAGUAUGUUCGGCUAUGCCCUGAAAAUCUUGUUAUGGGCUCUUUCUUUAGCCUUCAAAUUCUUGUUUCGGAUUUCAUAUAGUAUUGCUUUUCUUAAA
This is a non-coding RNA of Phoenix dactylifera (date palm), 1055 nucleotides long. The record is from RefSeq and is a predicted model, not a curated record. NCBI's taxonomy places the organism in Eukaryota, Viridiplantae, Streptophyta, Magnoliopsida, Arecales, Arecaceae.